GAUUAACUCAUGCAAGAUCAAUUGGGUUUUGGUAGGACCCAAUAUAUGAGAUUUUCUCAUUGAUUGAUUGAUUGCUAUGCUUGAUUGGUUUGCCUCACUAUAUGACAUGCAUGCGAAUAUUCUACAUUUGUGCACUAACCUUGUCUCUUAUGAUAGCGCUCAGCUUGUGACUAAGGUAUGCCUCGUACUCGAUUGCGUUUAUCAAUUUAUUUGUUAUCAUGUGUGUCUUGCUUUCACACAUUUUUUCAUUGUUUGGUAUCCAUGUUUAACCGAUCAAUUGCCAUACUUGUUUCAUCAACAUUUGAUAAUUAGAAAUAGUUCUUUCUCCAGAUCUUUACUCAUGGUUGGUUUGCCUAGUACAUUGAAAUCACUAAAAAUCUAUAACUCUACCAAACUAUAGUUUCUCCUACCUGAGUUGUUGAGAUGCCACCACCCAUUCCUUGAAUAUAUAUGGAUUGAAGGUAGCACCUGUGAUUCUCCUUCAUUAUCCUUGUCAUUAAGCAUCUUCCCCAGGUUGACUAAUCUCAGAAUGGAAGACCUUGAGGGGCUUGAAUCUCUAUCCAUUUUGAUAUCCAAGGGAGACCCCACAUCUCUUAGUUGCUUAACUGUCACAGCAUGCCCUAGUCUUGUAUCGAUUGAAUUGCCCGCUCUCAACUUAGCAAGCUAUUGGAUCUCCCAUUGCUCGGAGCUCAAGUUUCUGAAGCACAACCUCUCAUCUUUGCAGAGAUUGAGUUUAGAGGCUUGUCUAGAAUUGUUGUUCAAGAGAGAGAGUUUGCCCUUGGACUUACGUGAACUUGAAAUUUCAAACUGCAAUAAACUCACCUCCCAGGUGGACUGGGGUUUGCAAAGAGUGGCCUCUCUUACACAUUUCACAAUCAGGAAUAGAUGCGAAGACAUGGAAUUAUUUCCUGGUGAGUGCCUGCUGCCCUCCACUCUUACCUCUCUUGAAAUUGAGCAUCUUCCUAAUCUCAAGUCUCUGGAAAGCAAGGGGCUUCAACAACUUACCUCUCUCACAAAAUUAUCCAUCCUUAACUGCCCUAAGUUCCAAUCCUUUGGAGAAGUGGGUCUUCAACAUCUUAUCUCUCUUCGCCAUAUAUAGAUUAGUUACUGCCCUGUUCUCCAAUCCUUAACAGAUGUGGGUCUUCAACACCUCAUCUCUCUUGAGGAAUUGUGGGUCAUCGACUGUCCUAAGCUCCAAUACUUGGCAAAAGAGAGACUGCCAAACUCCCUCUCUUGUCUGACAAUCAAGGAAUGUCCUUUACUGGAACAUCGUUGCCAAUUUGGGAAAGGCCAAUAUUGGCAUUAUAUAGCUCACAUUCCACACAUAAUCAUCAAUGAUGUGCUAUACUAAUGAAGGCAGAAAUGUAUGAAUGUGCACUCAGGGUUUGACUAAUAUGUCUCCAGUCAUAAGGCAUGGUAUGAAGCAGGUCUCCUGGCAUAUAUACUAGGUUACUUGUCUUCUUGAGCCUCAAUUAUGAUUUGUGGUUAUUUUAAUUGUUUUGAUCCUUUGUCAUGACCUAUUAUGGAUUCCUACCUAUUGAUUUCUUCUGGAUGGUUCAACAGUGCCGACUUCAUUUUCUAAUUCGCAAAUUACAGGUUUCUCUUAAUCAUGACUACAUCAUUUUGUAGGUUCUAUGAGGUUGACAUGUUUAAAGGAACAGAUAUGCUUUCUUUUGGCUAAUACUUUUCAAUAGCUAGCUCAUUUUGUGUUCUAUGUUGCUUCAAUUUACAAUAAAAUUGUUACAAGGGUUCUGCCAGAUGGAAGGUGGAGUGAGGAAGAUGUUGUUUUACUACCUGGAUGAAUUUUUCCUAUUGAACACAUAGGUGCUAUUUCUAUUGAUAGUUGCCUUUUUGAUAAAGAUGAACUGAAUUGACCAGUCUGAGACGGACUUCGUUGUGGUUCUACUGGCAAACAGGGAGAGUUCACUUUUUUUAUACCACUCCAACAGUUAGGCCACUUCCCAAAG
Vitis riparia (riverbank grape) is the source of this 1967-nucleotide long non-coding RNA. RefSeq lists it as uncharacterized. The transcript has 3 exons. The record is from RefSeq and is a predicted model, not a curated record. Lineage: Eukaryota; Viridiplantae; Streptophyta; Magnoliopsida; Vitales; Vitaceae.